GACGAACGCUGGCGGCGUGCCUAAUACAUGCAAGUAGGACGCAGUUGCGAACGGGUGAGUAACGCGUAGGUAACUGCCUAUUAGAGGGGGAUAACUAUUGGAAACGAUAGCUAAUACCGCAUACUAGUAGAUGGACCUGCGUUGUAUUUGCUAGUAGGUAGGGUAAUGGCCUCCCUAGGCAACGAUACAUAGCCGACCUGGGAUGGUGAUCGGCCACACGUGGACUGAGACACGGGCCAGACUCCUACGGGAGGCAGCAGUAGGGAAACUUCGGGAAUGGGGGGAACCCUGACCGAGCAACGCGGGGUGAGUGAAGAAGGUUGUCGGAGCGGAAAGCUCUGUUGUUAAGGAAGCGGUACUUAACCAGAAAGGGACGGCUAACUACGUGCCAGCAGCCGCGGUAAUUC
This 407-nucleotide ribosomal RNA is filed under the name uncultured bacterium. Its description in RNAcentral is "partial 16S ribosomal RNA". It matches the Rfam family "Bacterial small subunit ribosomal RNA", at positions 28 to 526 of the family's 1533-position model. The record is from RNAcentral.